Molecule: ribosomal RNA, 597 nt
Filed under: Bacillus sp. HPC353
Lineage: Bacteria; Bacillati; Bacillota; Bacilli; Caryophanales; Bacillaceae
Description: bacterial SSU rRNA
Rfam family: Bacterial small subunit ribosomal RNA
Source: RNAcentral
GAAGGAGCUUGCUCCUUUGACGUUAGCGGCGGACGGGUGAGUAACACGUGGGCAACCUACCUUAUAGUUUGGGAUAACUCCGGGAAACCGGGGCUAAUACCGAAUAAUCUGUUUCACCUCAUGGUGAAAUAUUGAAAGACGGUUUCGGCUGUCGCUAUAGGAUGGGCCCGCGGCGCAUUAGCUAGUUGGUGAGGUAACGGCUCACCAAGGCGACGAUGCGUAGCCGACCUGAGAGGGUGAUCGGCCACACUGGGACUGAGACACGGCCCAGACUCCUACGGGAGGCAGCAGUAGGGAAUCUUCCACAAUGGGCGAAAGCCUGAUGGAGCAACGCCGCGUGAGUGAAGAAGGAUUUCGGUUCGUAAAACUCUGUUGUAAGGGAAGAACAAGUACAGUAGUAACUGGCUGUACCUUGACGGUACCUUAUUAGAAAGCCACGGCUAACUACGUGCCAGCAGCCGCGGUAAUACGUAGGUGGCAAGCGUUGUCCGGAAUUAUUGGGCGUAAAGCGCGCGCAGGUGGUUUCUUAAGUCUGAUGUGAAAGCCCACGGCUCAACCGUGGAGGGUCAUUGGAAACUGGGGAGACUUGAGUGCAGA